RNAcentral lists this long non-coding RNA (4556 nucleotides) under Olea europaea subsp. europaea. Lineage: Eukaryota; Viridiplantae; Streptophyta; Magnoliopsida; Lamiales; Oleaceae. The record is from RNAcentral.
UAUAAUUGGACCAUUUUGCUUCAAUUUUAGCGUGCAAAUUGGGCAAAAUGGUUCUAGGGCACUUUUGGCACUAUUUUCAUUUUCGGUGGCUUGAAACCCGAUUGUAUCUCCUUCUCUCCUGUGAUUGAAACGAGUGAUAUCAAUUUUCGGUGGCUUGAAGAUAAACCCAUCUGCAUCUCUUUCUCUCUCGCGACUGAGAUUUCCAAACACGCAUUUUCGAUGGCUUGAACUCUUUCAAGAGACUAAGAAUCAUAUCAAAUGUCGAGUUUCUGCAAGAAUAGUAAGUAGUUGCAUUGUAAAUUGGUAAUAUCCAUUUUUGGUAGCUUGAAAAGAAACCCAUUUGCAUCUCUUUCUCUCCCAUGACUUAGAUUUCGAAACACCCAUAUUCUGUGGCUUGAAGUGCUUUCAAGAGAGUGAGAAUCAUAUCAAAUUUCGAGUUUCUUCAAGAAUAGUAAGCAGUUGCAUCUGUUCCACUACCGUUUUUUUGUAAGUAGUUUCCACUAAUUUAUUUAUUUAUCAUUUUUACACCAUUCUCCAGCGGCGUCAAAGACAGGGGAAAAGCUAGCAUCCAACAUCUGGCUACAUAUCUACUGCACCUAACGUUGUUCACCCGAGAGAUGAUUGAAAAAGGUAUUGGUUUGCAUUGGUUUAAUGAUUUUGUAGUUUUUGGUGUAAGAUUUCUAAUGUUUUGCAAUACUAUGACUUCAUGACUCUAGUGUAAGAUUUAGGGGAUUUGUUGUGUGAUUAGCUUAGGUGGUUUUUAUUUACUUUUUUCAUUUCAGCCAUGGUUAUUGCACGCUGUUAAAUUUGAAUUAUCGUUAGAUAAAUUAUUUUAUUGUUGUACAUUAUUCGACAUUGUAAUUAAUUUGUUUGUUGGAGGGAAAGAAACUUUGGAAUAUGAAAAUAACAUUAUAUCGGUGGAGUCCGAUGAUGAAAAUGUUGUGGAUAAUAUGAGCAUACAGGGUGAUGAUAUGUUAGUUGGAGAUGGUGCGAUUGUGCCCGAGAUAGGUAUGAAAUUUAAGGAUGCAAAUGAAAUGUUCGAGUUUUACAAAAGAUAUGCAUACAAAAUUGGUUUCCCAGUUAGAAAGAAAAAUUCGAGAAAGGAUGAUGGAGUAUUGAGAAAUAUUACAUUUGUUUGUAGUCGUGAAGGGAAAAGAAUAAAAAAUACAAGCGGUUCUUUGAAGCCCUCAGCAACCAUUCAGAGUGGAUGUAAAGCCAGGAUCACUGAUGUUCAGAUAUUUGCGGAAUACGAAAAAUUAACACAGUAUACCUGGGUCACAAUCACAAUACAAGCCCUUCGAAAUCUAGGCUAUAUUGAUGCAACCGAGAGUUAAGUGCACAUGUGAAACGACGACUUGAAGUAAAUGACAUGACAGGAAUUUCGUUGCACAAGAGUUACAACUCUGCAGUUGUUGAAGCAGGGAGAUAUAGGAAUAUGACUUGCAUUGAAUGAGAUUGUUGAAACUAUGUCGAAAAAGUGAGACGAUUACGACUUGGAGAAGAGGCACAUCAGCAAUGCAAUCAUACUUCUCUAAAAUGCAAGCACGAUACUCGGGCUUUUACUUUAAUAUGGAUUUGGGUGACGAUUUGCGUCUAAAGAAUGUUUUCUAGGCAAAUAAUAAUAGGAGUAGGCAGGCAUAUAAAGAGUUCGAUGACGUUGUCACGUUCGACACCACGUAUCUCACUAAUAAAUAUGAUAUGCCAUUUGUCCCUUUUGUUGGAGUGAACCACCAUGGACAGUUGACACUCCUUGGAUGUGGUCUGGUAUUGAAUGAGGAUACAGAGACAUUUGUGUGCUAUUUUGGACAUGGCUGUAAUGUAUGUAUGGACAAGCUCCACAUGGGAUAAUUACAGAUCAGGAUAGGGUUAUGCAAAAUACAAUACACAUUGUGUUCUCCAAUACAAAGUAUAGAUGAUGCUUGUGGCACAUACUUAAAAAAUUGCUUGAGAAGUUUGGAUGCCAUGUGGAUAAGAGUUCCAUAUUUAGUACUCUACACGGUUUGGUCUAUGAUUGUCAAUUUGCGGAAGAAUUCAAAAACGACUGGAGAGUGAUGAUCGAAACAUUUAACUUGUAUGAUAAUGAAUGGCUGGCGGGUUUAUAUGAGAAUAGGGGACGUUGGGUACCUUGCUUUUUGAAAACUACAUUGUGGGCAACGAUGUCAACAACUCAACAUAGUGAGAGUAUGAAUGCAUUAUUUGAUGGUUAUGUACAUUCGAAGACGACAUUGAAGCAAUUUGUUGAACCAUACAAAUGAGCAUUGAGAAAUAAGGUUGAGAAAGAGUUUCAAGCGGACUAUCCUUCUCGCAAAUGGUGCCGUGUGCAACGAGAUAUGAAAUGGAGAAACAAUUCCAAGCAAUUUACACAAUUUCAAAAUUCAAGGAAGUUCAAGAAGAGUUCACAGGUAAGGUUUAUUGCGACCUCAUAUCUAUUUUGAAGGGACCAUCGGGGACGACUUAUGAGAUACGAGAGGAUGUAAUACAUGAUGAGCGUUCGAAGAAAAAAAACUUUUUCUUCUCAUUUCAAAGAGACGGAUGUGAAAUCACUUGCAGUUGUCACAAUUUUGAGUUUCGAGGGAUUAUUUGCAGACAUACGAUCACAGUAUUGAUUUGUAAUGAUAUCAAAUCUGUACCAGAAAGGUAUAUUAUAUGGAGAUGGCGAUGAGAUGUCAGUAGAGCCCACACGACGGUAACAGUGCAUUAUGAUGCUAUGGUUAGUAUUCCUAGACAACUGAGGUACAACAAAAUGUGGAACAUGAUGGCAGAUGAUGAAGUCAAAUCCAAUGUCAUAAUUGAGUGGAUCGAUAGUCAAUGUAAAGAAAUGAUGAUGUAGAAGUCAAAUAGUAAUAGUAAUAUCCUAUCCCCGCAUAUUACUCAGACAUCAUCCGAGUAUGGAGCAUCACUGGAUAUUGGAAGUGGUAGCAUCAGGGAUCCAGAAUGUGCGAAAAGAAAAUGUGCCCCUAGGAAACUUCAGAAGAAUAGCCCAUUGGAAUCAAGUAUGAACAGAGUUAAGGUAAUGCCCAGAUUUUGGUAUCCAAAUGUUGUAAAGUUAUUGUAGAGAUAAUGUCUAAUACCAUUCCCUGUUUUGUAGCCAACUUCGAGUUCAACGAAGGGAAGAAAUCGAAGGUUCGUGCAAGUAAUAUGGGAACUGAUGCACCCAUCGUUUAGUUACCUCAACAAUUACACGUGCUGCUACCUUUCUCAAAUACACACUUCCUUAUGGUUAGUACUCAGUGUAUGGUUUAAUUGCAUUGAAAAUAUACGAUGCACUAAUAAUGUUAUUUCAUGUAGGGUGGCAACCAAAAUCUUCAAUUCACUCAACACUUGCAGUCCACAUGUAUCAACCCUCCAUCCUAACAAGUCUUCUAUUCAAUAUGCAAGGUAACAUAGUUGUUAUAUAGAACAUAAUAGUUUACAAACAUUAUUCAUUACUAUGUAAUAAACAACCUUAAGUGGAGUUGGCAUUUGAAGGUUUGGCUAGAAGACAUAUGAAUGAUGCUGCUGACAAUGAAACACGACAGUUAAAUACAGAUGCACUUGCAAAAGUUGGACCUUCUAUAACAUCAUCAACCCCAAUAUAUGAGUUCUAGACAUGUAUCUGGACAUCUUCACGUUGGCUAAACACUGAGGGAUAGCUAAUCAAGAAUAUGGUUUUUGGUAUUUAUGUAAGUUGCUACAUAGUACAACUAAAGAAAUUAUUGUUUUCGGAUUCCAUCGAAAACAAUGCUUAAUCUGAUAAAAGUGGGUAAUUAUUAGGAAAGCGCUUACAUGUUUUCAAUAUGACAAGGCUGUGCUAUAACCGUAUGAUAAAAGUGGGUAAUUAUUUGCCAUCCUGGCGUUACCAUAUGAUAUGGAUGCACACAACUUGUGUUGCAGACUUUGGAGUGCACAAUGAUAAGCUUCAUUGUACCUAGACCUAAGUCAGAGUUUCUAAUAUUUUUGUUGGACAUCUAAUGCUGCUAAGUAUUUUUCUCCCCUCUUUUACAGAAUAAGAUUUUUAUUUGUAGGGUUAGAGUGAUUGGUUGUGGAUUGAAUUAAAUACUUGGCACGUACAUAUAAAGAGACUGGAGAACAUAUUAUUUUGAUAUACCCUUUGAUCCUUUCAGCUUCUGAUUGCAUUUGUUGCUUAGUUCGAAUUUGGAAUAGCUUAAUAAUUGAGUUUGUAUGAUCUCUUAGUUACGAAUUCAAUAAUGACAUCAGAUUACUUGAAGUUGAGUUUGUUUACUUCGGUUGGAAAUUCCAAAUCAGAUUACUUGAAGAAGUUGAGUAUGUUUACUUCUGUUCGAAAUUCCAAUGAACUUUUUCAACUUCCAACAAUGGAGAACAAGCUGACUAUUCUGCAGUUAAUUUAUUCAGUUAAGUUUUUAUUAUAGUUGUGUGAUUGACGAUUUGUUUUUAUUCAAGUUUUGGGAUCAACUUCUUGGUGUUUUUCCAUAGAUAUAUCAUACUGAUAUUUAUCCCCAAAAUACAAAAAUGGAAGCAGGUCUUUUCAGGGGCGGAUCCGGAUAGUUCGAACUGUAGGGUCAAAAAUGAAUUUUUUUUCUCACAACGUAUUAUUA